UGGGGAAUAUUGCACAAUGGGCGCAAGCCUGAUGCAGCCAUGCCGCGUGUAUGAAGAAGGCCUUCGGGUUGUAAAGUACUUUCAGCGAGGAGGAAGGCGGUAAGGUUAAUAACCUUAUCGAUUGACGUUACUCGCAGAAGAAGCACCGGCUAACUCCGUGCCAGCAGCCGCGGUAAUACGGGGGGUGCAAGCGUUAAUCGGACUUACUGGGCGUAAAGCGCACGCAGGCGGUCUGUCAAGUCGGAUGUGAAAUCCCCGGGCUCAACCUGGGAACUGCAUUCGAAACUGGCAGGCUAGAGUCUUGUAGAGGGGGGUAGAAUUCCAGGUGUAGCGGUGAAAUGCGUAGAGAUCUGGAGGAAUACCGGUGGCGAAGGCGGCCCCCUGGACAAAGACUGACGCUCAGGUGCGAAAGCGUGGGGAGCAAACA
This 427-nucleotide ribosomal RNA is filed under the name uncultured bacterium. RNAcentral describes it as "partial 16S ribosomal RNA". It matches the Rfam family "Bacterial small subunit ribosomal RNA", at positions 355 to 774 of the family's 1533-position model. The record is from RNAcentral.